CGUGUAGGCGGGUCGGUACGUCGGUCGCUGAAAUCCCCCGGCUCAACCGGGGAAGUGGCGCCGAUACGGCCGGCCUGGAGGGACGUAGGGGGGGCUGGAACUUCCGGUGGAGCGGUGAAAUGCGUUGAGAUCGGAAGGAACGCCCGUGGCGAAAGCGAGCCCCUGGACGUCUACUGACGCUGAGACGCGAAAGCCAGGGGAGCGAACG
This 208-nucleotide ribosomal RNA is filed under the name uncultured bacterium. Its description in RNAcentral is "partial 16S ribosomal RNA". It matches the Rfam family "Bacterial small subunit ribosomal RNA", at positions 568 to 774 of the family's 1533-position model. The record is from RNAcentral.